UUUUAUUUGAGAGUUUGAUCCUGGCUCAGGAUGAACGCUGGCGGCGUGCCUAACACAUGCAAGUUGAGCGAUUUACUUCGGUAAAGAGCGGCGGACGGGUGAGUAACGCGUGGGUAACCUACCCUGUACACACGGAUAACAUACCGAAAGGUAUGCUAAUACGGGAUAAUAUAUUUGAGAGGCAUCUCUUGAAUAUCAAAGGUGAGCCAGUACAGGAUGGACCCGCGUCUGAUUAGCUAGUUGGUAAGGUAACGGCUUACCAAGGCGACGAUCAGUAGCCGACCUGAGAGGGUGAUCGGCCACAUUGGAACUGAGACACGGUCCAAACUCCUACGGGAGGCAGCAGUGGGGAAUAUUGCACAAUGGGCGAAAGCCUGAUGCAGCAACGCCGCGUGAGUGAUGAAGGCCUUCGGGUCGUAAAACUCUGUCCUCAAGGAAGAUAAUGACGGUACUUGAGGAGGAAGCCCCGGCUAACUACGUGCCAGCAGCCGCGGUAAUACGUA
This 503-nucleotide ribosomal RNA is filed under the name Clostridioides difficile. Its description in RNAcentral is "bacterial SSU rRNA". It matches the Rfam family "Bacterial small subunit ribosomal RNA", at positions 1 to 529 of the family's 1533-position model. The record is from RNAcentral. Lineage: Bacteria; Bacillati; Bacillota; Clostridia; Peptostreptococcales; Peptostreptococcaceae.